RNAcentral lists this ribosomal RNA (425 nucleotides) under uncultured bacterium. RNAcentral describes it as "partial 16S ribosomal RNA". It matches the Rfam family "Bacterial small subunit ribosomal RNA", at positions 354 to 796 of the family's 1533-position model. The record is from RNAcentral.
GUGGGGAAUCUUGCGCAAUGGGCGAAAGCCUGACGCAGCCAUGCCGCGUGAAUGAUGAAGGUCUUAGGAUUGUAAAAUUCUUUCACCGGGGACGAUAAUGACGGUACCCGGAGAAGAAGCCCCGGCUAACUUCGUGCCAGCAGCCGCGGUAAUACGAAGGGGGCUAGCGUUGCUCGGAAUUACUGGGCGUAAAGGGCGCGUAGGCGGACAGUUUAGUCAGAGGUGAAAGCCCAGGGCUCAACCUUGGAAUUGCCUUUGAUACUGGCUGUCUUGAGUACGGGAGAGGUGAGUGGAACUCCGGGUGUAGGGGUGAAAUUCGUAGAUAUUCGGAAGAACACCAGUGGCGAAGGCGACUCACUGGCCCGUUACUGACGCUGAGGCGCGAAAGCGUGGGGAGCAAACAGGAUUAGAUACCCGAGUAGUCC